Small nucleolar RNA from Hevea brasiliensis (rubber tree), 107 nucleotides. NCBI's taxonomy places the organism in Eukaryota, Viridiplantae, Streptophyta, Magnoliopsida, Malpighiales, Euphorbiaceae. The record is from RefSeq and is a predicted model, not a curated record.
AUGGCAUGAUGUGGACAUUGUCUCUCCAACUCCUUCCAUCUCAUCCAUAACUCAUAAAGGGUCUCAUCUUCUUCAGGCCAAAAAGCAGUCAUCUAAUUUCUUAACUC